Molecule: ribosomal RNA, 204 nt
Filed under: uncultured bacterium
Lineage: Bacteria
Description: partial 16S ribosomal RNA
Rfam family: Bacterial small subunit ribosomal RNA
Source: RNAcentral
CAGUUCGGAUCGGAGUCUGCAACCCGACUCCGUGAAGCUGGAUUCGCUAGUAAUCGCGCAUCAGCCAUGGCGCGGUGAAUACGUUCCCGGGCCUUGUACACACCGCCCGUCAAGCCAUGGGAGCCGGGGGUGCUUGAAGUGCGUCGCCGUGAGGCGCGCCCUAGAGCAAAACCGGUGACUGGGGCUAAGUCGUAACAAGGUACC